RNAcentral lists this long non-coding RNA (334 nucleotides) under Pogona vitticeps (central bearded dragon). RNAcentral describes it as "lncRNA (ENSPVIG00000017023.1)". The record is from RNAcentral. Lineage: Eukaryota; Metazoa; Chordata; Lepidosauria; Squamata; Agamidae.
CUCCUGGUUCAAAAGAUUAGGCAACAUUUAUUAGCUUAAUUUACAGUACAUUGGGUCCUUCACUCAUAGACUUACCACAAAGUGAUAACAGUAUGGUGUGGUUAAGACCUAAGGGUGGUACAGAAGUUCAUCAUUUGCUGUUGGGCAAAACAGGAAAGGAUGCCUAUCUCUUUUUCGAAGGCGACUCCUCCCUGGACACAUCAGCUGGCUGUCCCUCAGGCCUCACUUCAAAAUGCAGUCGACUUCUGGACUGAAUACAAGCCAACGUCAGUCCCUGACUGAGGUAUUCCAGUGAUGAAAAUAAGAUAGCUCAACCAGGUAUGGAAUACUGGCA